AUUGAACGCUGGCGGCAGGCCUAACACAUGCAAGUCGAACGGUAACAGGAAACAGCUUGCUGUUUCGCUGACGAGUGGCGGGCGGGUGAGUAAUGUCUGGGAAACUGCCUGAUGGAGGGGGAUAACUACUGGAAACGGUAGCUAAUACCGCAUAACGUCGCAAGACCAAAGAGGGGGACCUUCGGGCCUCUUGCCAUCGGAUGUGCCCAGAUGGGAUUAGCUAGUAGGUGGGGUAACGGCUCACCUAGGCGACGAUCCCUAGCUGGUCUGAGAGGAGGACCAGCCACCCUGGAACUGAGACACGGUCCAGACUCCUACGGGGGGCAGCAGUGGGGAAUAUUGCACAAUGGGCGCAAGCCUGAUGCAGCCAUGCCGCGUGUAUGAAGAAGGCCUUCGGGUUGUAAAGUACUUUCAGCGGGGAGGAAGGGAGUAAAGUUAAUACCUUUGCUCAUUGACGUUACCCGCAGAAGAAGCACCGGCUAACUCCGUGCCAGCCGCCGCCGUAA
This 506-nucleotide ribosomal RNA is filed under the name uncultured bacterium. RNAcentral's name for it is "partial 16S ribosomal RNA". It matches the Rfam family "Bacterial small subunit ribosomal RNA", at positions 30 to 523 of the family's 1533-position model. The record is from RNAcentral.